GAUGAACGCUGGCGGCGUGCCUAAUACAUGCCAGUCGAGCGAACGGACGAGAAGCUUGCUUCUCUGAUGUUAGCGGCGGACGGGUGAGUAACACGUGGAUAACCUACCUAUAAGACUGGGAUAACUUCGGGAAACCGGAGCUAAUACCGGAUAAUAUUUUGAACCGCAUGGUUCAAAAGUGAAAGACGGUCUUGCUGUCACUUAUAGAUGGAUCCGCGCUGCAUUAGCUAGUUGGUAAGGUAACGGCUUACCAAGGCAACGAUGCAUAGCCGACCUGAGAGGGUGACCGGCAAAAGUGGGACUGAGAUACGGCCCAGACUCCGAGGGGAGGCAGCAGUGGGGAAUAUUACACAAUGGGAGGAAGCCUGAUGCAGAAACGGAGCGUGCGGGAUGACGGCCGGAGGGUGGUAAACCGAUCUCGCCGGUGACGAAGCGUGAGGGACGGUAAUGGGUAAAGAAGCACAGGCUAACGACGUG
Molecule: ribosomal RNA, 477 nt
Filed under: uncultured bacterium
Lineage: Bacteria
Description: partial 16S ribosomal RNA
Rfam family: Bacterial small subunit ribosomal RNA
Source: RNAcentral